GCCGGUGUAGCUCAGUGGUAGAGCGCUUCCUUGGUAAGGAAGAGGUCACGAGUUCAAUUCUCGUCAUUGGCU
RNAcentral lists this transfer RNA (72 nucleotides) under bacterium. Its description in RNAcentral is "tRNA-Thr". It matches the Rfam family "tRNA". Rfam says of the family: Transfer RNA (tRNA) molecules are approximately 80 nucleotides in length. The record is from RNAcentral. RNAcentral also lists the same sequence under 10 other names.